GGGCGCUUAGCUCAGCCAGGAAGAGUAUCGGGCUUUUAACCCGAGGGUCGCGGGUUCAAAUCCCGCAGCGCCCG
RNAcentral lists this transfer RNA (74 nucleotides) under Thermoproteota archaeon. Its description in RNAcentral is "Crenarchaeota archaeon (sediment metagenome) tRNA-Lys". It matches the Rfam family "tRNA". Rfam says of the family: Transfer RNA (tRNA) molecules are approximately 80 nucleotides in length. Lineage: Archaea; Thermoproteati; Thermoproteota. The record is from RNAcentral.